CGAGUUUGAUCCUGGCUCAGAACGAACGCUGGCGGCAUGCUUAACACAUGCAAGUUGAACGGUAACAUGCCCUUCGGGGUGAUGACGAGUAGCAAACGGGUGAGUAAUGCUUAGAUAAUCUACCUUAAAGACUGGGAUAGCUACGGGAAACUGUAGGUAAUACCGGAUAAGCUCACGAAUCAAAAGAUUUGGGAGAAAAUAGUGGGGACCCUUCGGGGCCUAUUGCUUUAAGAUGAGUCUAAGUCCUAUCAGCUAGUUGGUGGGGUAAUGGCCUACCAAGGCAGUGACGGGUAGCCGGCCUGAGAGGGUGAACGGCCACACUGGAACUGAGACACGGUCCAGACUCCUACGGGAGGCAGCAGUGAGGAAUUUUCCGCAAUGGGCGAAAGCCUGACGGAGCGAUGCCGCGUGAGUGAUGAAGGUUUUCGGAUUGUAAAGCUCUGUUGUUGGAGAAGAAGGGCAUAUGUUUAAUAGAUGUAUGUCUUGACGGUAUCCAACGAGGAAGCCCCGGCUAACUACGUGCCAGCAGCCGCGGUAAUACGUAGGGGGCAAGCGUUGUUCGGAAUUAUUGGGCGUAAAGCGUGUGCAGGUGGUUCUACAAGUUGGAUGUGAAAGGCAAAGGCUCAACCUUUGGAUUGCAUUCAAAACUGUAGUUCUGGAGUAUGGUAGGGAAUAGCGGAAUUCCUGGUGUAGCAGUGAAAUGCGUAGAUAUCAGGAGGAACACCGGAGGCGAAGGCGGCUAUUUGGGCCAAUACUGACACUGAGACACGAAAGCAUGGGGAGCAAACAGGAUUAGAUACCCUGGUAGUCCAUGCCGUAAACGAUGAGAACUAGGCGUAGGGGGGAACAUUCCUUCUGUGCCGCAGCAAACGCAUUAAGUUCUCCGCCUGGGAAGUACGGUCGCAAGAUUAAAACUCAAAGGAAUUGACGGGGGCCCGCACAAGCGGUGGAGUAUGUGGUUUAAUUCGACGAUACGCGAGAAACCUUACCCAAACUUGACAUCUCUUUGCAAGCUCUAUUAAUUGGAGCCCUCCUUCGGGACAAAGAUGACAGGUGGUGCAUGGUUGUCGUCAGCUCGUGUCGUGAGAUGUUGGGUUAAGUCCCGCAACGAGCGCAACCCUUGUAACUAUUUGCCAGCAUUUCGGAUGGGGACUAUAGUUAGACUGCCGGCGACAAGCCGGAGGAAGGUGGGGACGACGUCAAAUCAUCACGCCCUUUAUGUUUGGGGCUACACACGUACUACAAUGGUCGGUACAGCGAGUCGCGACACUGCGAGGUGAAGCUAAUCUCUUAAAACCGGCCCUAGUUCGGAUUGCAGGCUGAAACUCGCCUGCAUGAAGCUGGAAUCGCUAGUAACCGUAAAUCAGCAUGUUACGGUGAAUACGUUCUCGGGCCUUGUACACACCGCCCGUCACACCAUGGAAGAAGGUAACACCCGAAGCCGGUGAGCUAACCCGUCCAGGGAGGCAGCUGUCUAAGGUGGGAUCUUUGACUGGGGUGAAGUCGUAACAAGGUA
RNAcentral lists this ribosomal RNA (1516 nucleotides) under metagenome. RNAcentral's name for it is "bacterial SSU rRNA". It matches the Rfam family "Bacterial small subunit ribosomal RNA". The record is from RNAcentral.